GAUGAACGCUGGCGGCGUGCCUAAUACAUGCAAGUCGAACGAGGUGCUUUUGUAGCAAUACGAGAGUAUCCUAGUGGCGAACGGGUGAGUAACGCGUUGGUGACCUACCCCAAAGUGUGGGAUAACAGUCCGAAAGGAUUGCUAAUACCGCAUGUGGUCUUCGGAUUUAGAAACUGAUGACUAAAGGAGCAAUUCGCUUUGGGAGGGACCUGCGUCCCAUCAGCUAGUUGGUGAGGUAAUGGCUCACCAAGGCUACGACGGGUAGGGGACCGUGAGAGGGUGGACCCCCCACCAAUAGGAACGUAGAAAC
This 310-nucleotide ribosomal RNA is filed under the name uncultured bacterium. Its description in RNAcentral is "bacterial SSU rRNA". It matches the Rfam family "Bacterial small subunit ribosomal RNA", at positions 28 to 327 of the family's 1533-position model. The record is from RNAcentral.